This 745-nucleotide ribosomal RNA is filed under the name uncultured bacterium. RNAcentral describes it as "bacterial SSU rRNA". It matches the Rfam family "Bacterial small subunit ribosomal RNA", at positions 33 to 773 of the family's 1533-position model. The record is from RNAcentral.
ACGCUGGCGGCAGGCCUAACACAAGCAAGUCGAGCGGUAGAGAGAAGCUUGCUUCUCUUGAGAGCGGCGGACGGGUGAGUAAUGCCUAGGAAUCUGCCUGGUAGUGGGGGAUAACGUUCGGAAACGGACGCUAAUACCGCAUACGUCCUACGGGAGAAAGCAGGGGACCUUCGGGCCUUGCGCUAUCAGAUGAGCCUAGGUCGGAUUAGCUAGUUGGUGGGGUAAUGGCUCACCAAGGCGACGAUCCGUAACUGGUCUGAGAGGAUGAUCAGUCACACUGGAACUGAGACGCGGUCCAGACUCCUACGGGAGGCAGCAGUGGGGAAUAUUGGACAAUGGGCGAAAGCCUGAUCCAGCCAUGCCGCGUGUGUGAAGAAGGUCUUCGGAUUGUAAAGCACUUUAAGUUGGGAGGAAGGGCAGUUGCCUAAUACGUAACUGUUUUGACGUUACCGACAGAAUAAGCACCGGCUAACUCUGUGCCAGCAGCCGCGGUAAUACAGAGGGUGCAAGCGUUAAUCGGAAUUACUGGGCGUAAAGCGCGCGUAGGUGGUUUGUUAAGUUGGAUGUGAAAUCCCCGGGCUCAACCUGGGAACUGCAUUCAAAACUGACUGACUAGAGUAUGGUAGAGGGUGGUGGAAUUUCCUGUGUAGCGGUGAAAUGCGUAGAUAUAGGAAGGAACACCAGUGGCGAAGGCGACCACCUGGACUGAUACUGACACUGAGGCGCGAAAGCGUGGGGAGCAAAC